UCCCGCAACGAGCGCAACCCUUGUCUUUAGUUACCUAUCAUUCAGUUGGGGACGUCUAGAGAGACUGCCGGUGAUAAACCGGAGGAAGGUGGGGAUGACGUCAAAUCAUCAUGCCCCUUAUGACCUGGGCUACACACGUACUACAAUGGCGCAUACAACGAGCUGCGAGAUGGUGACAUCAAGCGAAUCUCUUAAAAUGCGUCUCAGUUCAGAUUGGAGUCUGCAACUCGACUCCAUGAAGUCGGAAUCGCUAGUAAUCGCGGAUCAGCAUGCCGCGGUGAAUACGUUCUCGGGGUUU
This 298-nucleotide ribosomal RNA is filed under the name uncultured Erysipelothrix sp. RNAcentral describes it as "partial 16S ribosomal RNA". It matches the Rfam family "Bacterial small subunit ribosomal RNA", at positions 1085 to 1382 of the family's 1533-position model. The record is from RNAcentral. Lineage: Bacteria; Bacillati; Bacillota; Erysipelotrichia; Erysipelotrichales; Erysipelotrichaceae.